GGUGGUUCUUGGGUGAUGCAUCCCGGAAUUGGGCUCCCUCCGCUCUGGUUCUGGGUGUGUCACCAGAGAGCCACA
Myotis davidii is the source of this 75-nucleotide non-coding RNA. The record is from Rfam. Lineage: Eukaryota; Metazoa; Chordata; Mammalia; Chiroptera; Vespertilionidae.